This 315-nucleotide ribosomal RNA is filed under the name uncultured Streptococcus sp. RNAcentral's name for it is "partial 16S ribosomal RNA". It matches the Rfam family "Bacterial large subunit ribosomal RNA", at positions 1436 to 1749 of the family's 2925-position model. The record is from RNAcentral. Lineage: Bacteria; Bacillati; Bacillota; Bacilli; Lactobacillales; Streptococcaceae.
GAGCAACGCUCGUCGACUCAGGGUAAGUCGGGACGCAGCAGGCUAACUAGAGCGUGCGAUUGGAAGAGCACGUCCAAGCAGUGAGGUGAGGACUGAGUCAAAUGCUUAGUUCUGCGCCACCAAGCUGUGACGGGGAGCGAAGUUUAGUAGCGAAGCUAGUGAUGUCACUCUGCCAAGAAAAGCUUCUAGCGUUAAUGAAUACUCUACCCGUACCGCAAACCGACACAGGUAGUCGAGGCGAGUAGCCUCAGGUGAUCGAGCGAACUCUCGUUAAGGAACUCGGCAAAAUGGCCCCGUAACUUCGGGAGAAGGGGC